RNAcentral lists this ribosomal RNA (253 nucleotides) under uncultured bacterium. Its description in RNAcentral is "partial 16S ribosomal RNA". It matches the Rfam family "Bacterial small subunit ribosomal RNA", at positions 524 to 776 of the family's 1533-position model. The record is from RNAcentral.
UACGAAGGGGGCUAGCGUUGCUCGGAAUUACUGGGCGUAAAGCGCACGUAGGCGGUCUUUUAAGUCGGGGGUGAAAUCCUGGAGCUCAACUCCAGAACUGCCUUCGAUACUGGAAGACUCGAGUCCGGGAGAGGUGAGUGAAACUGCGAGUGUAGAGGUGAAAUUCGUAGAUAUUCGCAAGAACACCAGUGGCGAAGGCGGCUCACUGGCCCGGUACUGACGCUGAGGUGCGAAAGCGUGGGGAGCAAACAGG